UAAGUUUCAACAACGGAUCUCUUGGCUCUCGCAUCGAUGAAGAACGCAGCGAAAUGCGAUAAGUAAUGUGAAUUGCAGAAUUCAGUGAAUCAUCGAAUCUUUGAACGCA
This 109-nucleotide ribosomal RNA is filed under the name Thanatephorus cucumeris. RNAcentral's name for it is "5.8S ribosomal RNA". It matches the Rfam family "5.8S ribosomal RNA", at positions 1 to 108 of the family's 154-position model. Rfam says of the family: 5.8S ribosomal RNA (5.8S rRNA) is a component of the large subunit of the eukaryotic ribosome. Lineage: Eukaryota; Fungi; Basidiomycota; Agaricomycetes; Cantharellales; Ceratobasidiaceae. The record is from RNAcentral.